This 2084-nucleotide long non-coding RNA is filed under the name Homo sapiens (human). Its description in RNAcentral is "PREDICTED lncRNA (TCONS_00125331)". Lineage: Eukaryota; Metazoa; Chordata; Mammalia; Primates; Hominidae. The record is from RNAcentral.
UACAUUUAACGUGAGACAGCUCACUUUGAUGUUAUCUCAGCCAGUUUUUUAGUAGUUCUGGGUAGAGAUGGACAACAACUGGCCAUCUACCUUGAGAUGCUCCUUUUAUUUUUGAGUUAGGCUCUUACUUUGUCACCCAGGCUGGAGUGCAGAUCAUGGCUCACUGCAGCCUCGACCUCCUGGAUUCAGUGAUCCUCCUACCUCAGCCUGCCGAGUAGCUGGGACUACCGGUGCACACCCCAUACCCAGCUAAUUUUCAUUAUUUUGUUAGAGACAGUGUCUUGCUAUGUUAGCCAGGCUGGUUUCAAUGUCCUGACUUCAAGUGAUCUCCCCGCCUUGGCCUCCUGAGCAGCUGAAAGUACAGUUCAUGGCCCAGGCAGAGUCAUUCAUCACGGCAUCUCCUGAGCUAAACCAGCACCUGCUCUGCUCACUUCUUGACUGGCUGCUCAUCAUCAGCCCUCUGCAGAGAUUUCAUUUCCUCCGUGCCAGUAGCCAUCGACCCUCUGAUGAGGAUGCCCCCUCCAACAGGCACCGCCAGGCAGCCCUGCCUGGAGACCCAGAGGCACCGAGUCACAUUUGCUCUGCACACCUGGCUCUCGCUUGAUGUGGGCCUGUGUGCUACAGCCCGGAACACAAAAGAAGACACCCAUGCAAAUACCAUUAAAAGUUUAUUGUUUUAUUUCAAUAUUCAGGAACAGUGUACACUUUCCGUUCAGCCAUCGUCACAGCACGUGCUGUGUGGGUGCGGCCACGUAUGGAUCGCAGAGCCGACCUCAGCUCAGCGACGCAGAGUGCUUCUGCUGAAAAAUUUGGAGGUUUGUGUCUGGAGUUUUGUUCUUUGUAACUCUCUCAUCAUCGAGGCUAUAUAUUAAUAGACAUGGUAUUAAGCCCACACGAAACAUUCAGAAUUAGAAUUGGAUUAAGAAGACGCGUUUUGGCAUCACGCUGACUACUCCUCAUCUCCGUCCUCGGGGAGGGUGAUGCCAGCGUGGGACUCUUUGGAAGGCCUAUCAAUCACAGGUGCACGCCUGUGCCUACUCGCUACCACGCGUCUUCUGGGAGGAAGUGAAUGAGCCGGUUAUCUUCUCAGGGAGGGUUAGUGCUGGCCACUGUGCACUGCCGCUGCCAGCACGCCCGGUCACAGCCAGUGUCUAUGGGCGACUGGCGCGGCUGCGAGGCUGUCUAGAGGACUCCUACCCUUCUGCUCUGAGUGCGCAAGUCUUCCUGGACUCUCCGGCUGUGGGCUGUGGUUUGGAAACGAGGUUGUUCAUAGAGGCUGCUCUGGGGCCACCAUGCAGGGCAACGGUGACGUCCAGAGGCCACCUGCUUGACAUCUCCAUCACCAAAUCUCCAGGAAGACCCUGUUUCCUAUGUGAGGCCAUUGCCCAGCCCACGUUUGCCUCCUUUUCCUCCCUCUGCCACACGCGAAUUCAGCUAAUUGGGGUGUGUGGGCAGCCACGGCCUGGGGAGGUGGCCCCCUCUCUGUGCUGCCCCACGUUGGACUCUAACAGCUGCCCAGCCCGCAUGUCACAUACCAAAAGCUCCCACAUGUAGUAAGCCACUCCUUGACUGUCUAAUCCUGUUAGGAAAAAUGAAGUCUACUUUAGGAGGUGAGAGAAGGACAGGAAAAAAAAACAAAGGAAGCUUGGAUGUCAACAGUCCUCUCUGCCGCCCACGUCCUCUCUGUCUCUGCAGCUGUGUGCCUCCAUGGCAGUGACCAGCAAAAGCGCAAGGGUGCCGCAGCCACGGCGAAAAGAAAGUCCAAGGGUGGAGGGGUGAACGUGGAGGGACGUCUGUGCACCUGGCCCCCUGAAGACCCACGUGCGUCUGGGGGCACAUUGCGGGGGAAGGAACGUGAUCUUCACACAGAAAGGGACAGUUUUAACCGUUUUCUGUUUUCAUGUUCUCAUUUAACUGUUGGCCGGAAAUUGCCGGUAGGCUGCCGUGGCCUGACCCUACUACGUGCACAACUCCGCAGGCAUUAGGGGAGGGGUCAUCUGCUCUAAUUAGGUAACAGGGGCAAGUGGGAUUAAAGUUUUAAGGCAGUUAUAUUAAGAAGCUGAGGACAGGAUUCCGGAACCAGG